CCACCCCCAGGGCUCUACUUUGGGUCAUCCAUGAUCCUUCAAACCUGGUUCCCACACUCUCUAAGAGAAAACCUUAUCUCCAUCCCCCUCAAAAGCAAUUCUUCAGUGAGACCAAGAAAGGCACAGGAAAAGAGCAAGACCAAAGCAGGUAAGUGGGAGAGAUCACUCUUUGUAGGAGGAGCCCACUUCUUACCAGGCACCUUAUUGUUCUGUAUUCUCUUUCUCAAAGAACUCUGAGGCAGAGGUACUCUUAGCUCCUUUUAAAGAGGAGGCAACUGAGGCUCAGAGAGGUUAAGUGAACUUUCCAAGAUCACACAGCCAGAAAUCAGCAGAAGCAGGAUCUCAGCCCUGGUCCAGUGGGCUCUGGGGCCCCUGUUUCUUUCACUACUUCAUGCACCCUCAGGUUUGGAGACCACCCCCCAAAAGAGACAUCAUCAAGGCCCAGGUGGGGACCCAGGGAUGGGAAGAAGGCAGACCUCAGGCAGCUGGGGCAUGGAGAACAUUCUCCACUAGGUAUAAAAGGCUGCCACAGGCAUUCCCCGCCCUCCACCCUCUGCAGCCAGGUAGGGAAGGGGCCAGAUCACUUGACAGGGGCCACCCUCACCCCAUCCCCCAGCCGGGCCCUCAGCCAUUGCUGCUCAGACUCCCCCUGUAAUCACGGCUUCCUGUUUGGCGCUGAGACUAGGCCUGGUCAGUGGGGGGAGGGGAGCGGACGCCCCUCUGGCCAGGGCCUGCUCUGGAGGGAAGGAGGGGGGCCGGAAGAGAGGCUGACCCAACCUCCUGGAAUCUUGGGAGGCUGGGAGCCAAGGCAAGAGGAGGGGGUGUCAGUCAACAAAUGUUUACUGGGCGGGCGCUGGCCUGAUGUUCCCAGGAUGCAGUGGAAUGUUAGGGGAACAGCAAGACUCGCCAGGUGGUCCAGCCCAGACCCUGUUCUCUGCUUCAGGGGGCAGUUGUGGGGUGAUCAAGGGCCUGGACCCAGGGACAGCUCCUGGCUCCAGCCACCCCGCCUCCCCACCCUAUCCCCG
RNAcentral lists this long non-coding RNA (1025 nucleotides) under Bos mutus (wild yak). RNAcentral's name for it is "lncRNA (ENSBMUG00000007346.1)". The record is from RNAcentral. Lineage: Eukaryota; Metazoa; Chordata; Mammalia; Artiodactyla; Bovidae.